This 1184-nucleotide long non-coding RNA is filed under the name Dasypus novemcinctus (nine-banded armadillo). RNAcentral describes it as "lncRNA (ENSDNOG00000050126.1)". Lineage: Eukaryota; Metazoa; Chordata; Mammalia; Cingulata; Dasypodidae. The record is from RNAcentral.
UGCCCUCCUCGGUGCAGGCUGCGGCCCUCAGCAACCUGCAAGGAGGGCAGGGCCAGCAGUGCCUGCAGCAGAGGGAAAAGGGGCGCACGGCACCCGGCGCCAGCAGCUCCCUGCCUCUCAGCACGACCCCCCAGGGCUCUGUGACCCGGGACCUGGCCACAUGGCUUGCUCAGCCCCUGGGAAGGGCAGGGAAGGAUGCCCGACCCAGAGAGGGCCAACAGAGCCAACAGAGCCCCCCGCCCUGGCGUCGAAGAAGCCAGAAGCACCCCUCGCCCUCAGCCAGGGUGAAGGGCUGGCCUCACCCAAACCACAGGAGACCGCAGGGCUGCAGAAGCAAUGUGGGGCUGGACAGGGAGGUGGGCAGCGCCUGGAACCUGACGACAGAACUGCGCCUGGAAGCGCGGGCCGCGCGGCGCUGAAAACCGAGGGGGCGGAGGCGGGAGGGCUCGGCUCAGGCGGCAGCCUUCCCUCCGCUGGCGUGGACCCUGGGGACGCCGGGCAGGGUGGAGCCAACGUUCCCUCCCCCCAGGUUGGGAGCCCCUUGGGGCAGGGUCACAGGAUGACCCACCGCUGGCCAGCCGCCUGGGGCUCCGCGCGGCGCUGGGCAGGAGGCAGGUCUGACCGUGCAGCCUGUCCCCAUCUGUGCGUGUCUGGACUCAGGCGCCGGACACCGCGGCCACAGGGCAAUGGUCCGUAUUGGGGGCAGAGGGAUGCCUCCAUCUGGGCGGCGGGAGCGCCGGCCGAUUCUACUCAGCUCACCAGCGCCCACACGCGCCCCGGCAGGGUCGCUUUCCGCGUGUGCACCCCGAUGCCCCUCUGGUCCGGAUGGACACAGGUUCCCCGGCGGCCUUCAGGGGAGGAGGGGGCGGGCCGAGGAGGGCCGAGGGCGGGGCUGCGUGGCCAGAGUCCCUUUCGCUUUCCCUUUUGUUCUCCCCAAGAGCCGCCGAACUUCCCACUGCCUUGAGCUCUGCGGACGCUCUAACGGUCGACGGGCACGCAGGAAGCGGAUGAGCUGCAGGGGCGCCCCGUGAACGAGAAGCCCCGUGCGCCAUGCAGUCCCCGCCCGACUGGCCGCCUGCGCCCGGCGCCCUGCAGCCCUCGCCGUUCCCGCACCCGGCGCUGCACGCCCUCCACGGCCUGGCCCGCGCGCUGCUCUUCCCGGCGUACUGGGCGCUGGACCAGCU